UGACUUAAUACUUUAAAAUAAAAGAUUUGAUUUGCAUUCAAAAAAUAGGUUUAUUAAACCUUUAGGUCAU
Molecule: transfer RNA, 70 nt
Filed under: Erronea caurica
Lineage: Eukaryota; Metazoa; Mollusca; Gastropoda; Littorinimorpha; Cypraeidae
Description: tRNA-Ala
Source: RNAcentral